AAGCUUUAUGCACCAUUGGAUGAGCCUGCACUUGAUUAGUUUGUUGGUGGGGUAAUGGCCUACCAAGACUGUGAUCAAUAGCUGAUUUGAGAGGAUGAUCAGCCACAUUGGGACUGAGACACGGCCCAAACUCCUACGGGAGGCAGCAGUGGGGAAUCUUGCACAAUGGAGGAAACUCUGAUGCAGCGAUGCCGCGUGAGUGAAGAAGGCCCUUGGGUUGUAAAGCUCUUUCGUCGGGGAAGAAAAUGACUGUACCCGAAUAAGAAGGU
This 269-nucleotide ribosomal RNA is filed under the name uncultured bacterium. Its description in RNAcentral is "partial 16S ribosomal RNA". It matches the Rfam family "Bacterial small subunit ribosomal RNA", at positions 204 to 492 of the family's 1533-position model. The record is from RNAcentral.